This 260-nucleotide ribosomal RNA is filed under the name uncultured bacterium. Its description in RNAcentral is "partial 16S ribosomal RNA". It matches the Rfam family "Bacterial small subunit ribosomal RNA", at positions 793 to 1055 of the family's 1533-position model. The record is from RNAcentral.
GUCCACGCCGUAAACGAUGAUCACUGGAUGUAUGCGAUAUACAGUAUGCGUCUGAGUAAAAGCAUUAAGUGAUCCACCUGGGGAGUACGUCGGCAACGAUGAAACUCAAAUGAAUUGACGGGGGCCCCGCACAAGCGGAGGAACAUGUGGUUUAAUUCGAUGAUACGCGAGGAACCUUACCUGGGCUCGAACGCGGAGGGAAUAUAGGAGAAAUCUUAUAGCUAGCAAUAGCCGUCUGCGAGGUGCUGCAUGGUUGUCGU